Molecule: ribosomal RNA, 254 nt
Filed under: uncultured bacterium
Lineage: Bacteria
Description: partial 16S ribosomal RNA
Rfam family: Bacterial small subunit ribosomal RNA
Source: RNAcentral
GACGGAGGGUGCUAGCGUUGUUCGGAAUGACUGGGCGUAAAGGGCGCGUAGGCGGCCGCUUGCGUCGGAUGUGAAAGCCCCGGGGCUCAACCCCGGAACGGCAUCCGAUACGGGGCGGCUCGAGACCGAGAGAGGUGAGUGGAAUACCCAGUGUAGAGGUGAAAUUCGUAGAUAUUGGGUGGAACACCGGUGGCGAAAGCGGCUCACUGGCUCGGUUCUGACGCUGAGGCGCGAAAGCGUGGGGAGCAAACAGG